This is a long non-coding RNA of Felis catus (domestic cat), 405 nucleotides long. RefSeq lists it as uncharacterized. The transcript is spliced from 2 exons. NCBI's taxonomy places the organism in Eukaryota, Metazoa, Chordata, Mammalia, Carnivora, Felidae. The record is from RefSeq and is a predicted model, not a curated record.
CGCAGCUUGCCCAAAAGGAAUCCAGUCGGGCAUCAUGUUCACAAUGUGAAGAGUGAAACUUGGGGCGCCGGACAAGUGUCCGAGCGUGUGGCCUGGCGCUGUUUUCCAAAGAUCCUGGUUUCUCCAGUCGUGGAGGAUUUCUCCCCCACGGGGACUGUCUUGCACAUGAUGGGAGACAGCAAUUGUGUGUGACCAACAGUGAGAACACAGGGUUUAAGACCUCCCAGACUCGGGUCGCAACCCUGCAUUUCGAACUUGUUUGCCCUCUUGCCAACACGGAACACGCUGCCUCUGUUCCGGCCACACUGCUCCAAGGCUUACGCUGUCUUGUCUGUGCCCCUACGUGCACGUGUUUUCUCAUAUCCCCUCAAACAAAUUUCUGUUUAUUAAAAUGUUACCCACUAC